AAACAAUAUCAUUUGUUAAAGAGAAAGAGUGCGAGAGUUCCACCAGCCUUCCACAUACCCGAGAGAGAAAUUUUCCAUGUUACAUUAUAAGUUAUUAAUCCAUUGUUAAGUGAUUCAUUCGAUAAAGAAAAUGUCUAAAUAUUCACAAGUUGAUGGCACACAGUUCAUUAGUUCACUAUAUUCUUCGUCUUCACGGGCCGUCGUCGUAAUUGUCGUCAUUAUCGUUCUUCGUCUUUCGUCUCGGUCGGGGCGAGUUGUUGGCCCGUCGUUCAUCUUACAUUUUCGUUGUUUUUUUGUUCACCGAUAUCCAGUUUACUUCUUCUUUCUCCGCUGACUAACUGUUCCGACUGUUCUGUCUCUCCCUUUUUGACUAUUCACUCGCUUCUGCCGACUAAUCUCUUCGUUCGUUCCGUCUCGAAAUACCGUGGGAACUUCCUGGUGGUAGAUAGCCUCUCACCAUCCCGAGGCGGAACUAACGGGUAGUUCCUUUAAGAACGAUG
Molecule: long non-coding RNA, 500 nt
Filed under: Androctonus crassicauda
Lineage: Eukaryota; Metazoa; Arthropoda; Arachnida; Scorpiones; Buthidae
Source: RNAcentral